Molecule: ribosomal RNA, 466 nt
Filed under: uncultured bacterium
Lineage: Bacteria
Description: bacterial SSU rRNA
Rfam family: Bacterial small subunit ribosomal RNA
Source: RNAcentral
CCUANGGGAGGCUGCAGUAGGGAAUAUUGCGCAAUGGACGAAAGUCUGACGCAGCAACGCCGCGUGUGGGAUGAAGUUCCUUGGAGUGUAAACCACUGUCGGGGGGGGCGAACGAUCAUAAUACGAAUAGGAUUAUGGUUUGACGGUACCCCUAAAGGAAGCUCCGGCUAACUCCGUGCCAGCAGCCGCGGUAAUACGGGGGGAGCAAGCGUUGUUCGGAAUCACUGGGCGUAAAGGGUGCGCAGGCGGGAGAUUAAGUCGGAUGUGAAACCCUCAAGCUUAACUUGAGGCCUGCAUUCGAAACUGGUCUUCUUGAGUAUCGGAGAGGAAAGCGGAACUCCAGGUGUAGCGGUGAAAUGCGUAGAUAUCUGGAGGAACACCUGUGGCGAAGGCGGCUUUCUGGCUGAAUACUGACGCUCAUGCACGAAGGCUAGGGGAGCAAACAGGAUUAGAUACCCCANUANUC